UACGAAGGGGGCAAGCGUUGUUCGGAAUUACUGGGCGUAAAGGGCGCGUAGGCGGUGCACUAAGUCAGGCGUGAAAGCCCUGGGCUCAACCCGGGAAUUGCGCCCGAAACUGCAGAGCUUGAAUACCGGAGAGGAUGGCGGAAUUCCCCAAGUAGAGGUGAAAUUCGUAGAUAUGGGGAGGAACACCGGUGGCGAAGGCGGCCAUCUGGACGGCUAUUGACGCUGAGACGCGAAAGCGUGGGGAGCAAACAGG
Molecule: ribosomal RNA, 253 nt
Filed under: uncultured bacterium
Lineage: Bacteria
Description: partial 16S ribosomal RNA
Rfam family: Bacterial small subunit ribosomal RNA
Source: RNAcentral